RNAcentral lists this ribosomal RNA (253 nucleotides) under uncultured bacterium. RNAcentral's name for it is "partial 16S ribosomal RNA". It matches the Rfam family "Bacterial small subunit ribosomal RNA", at positions 524 to 776 of the family's 1533-position model. The record is from RNAcentral.
UACGAAGGGGGCUAGCGUUGUUCGGAAUUACUGGGCGUAAAGAGCUCGUAGGUGGUUUGUCGCGUUGUCCGUGAAAACUCACAACUCAAUUGUGGGCGUGCGGGCGAUACGGGCAGACUGGAGUACUGCAGGGGAGACUGGAAUUCCUGGUGUAGCGGUGGAAUGCGCAGAUAUCAGGAGGAACACCGGUGGCGAAGGCGGGUCUCUGGGCAGUAACUGACGCUGAGGAGCGAAAGCGUGGGGAGCGAACAGG